This 492-nucleotide ribosomal RNA is filed under the name uncultured bacterium. Its description in RNAcentral is "partial 16S ribosomal RNA". It matches the Rfam family "Bacterial small subunit ribosomal RNA", at positions 29 to 507 of the family's 1533-position model. The record is from RNAcentral.
AGUGAACGCUGGCGGUAGGCCUAACACAUGCAAGUCGAACGGCAGCACCGUAAGAGCUUGCUCUUACGGGUGGCGAGUGGCGGACGGGUGAGGAAUACAUCGGAAUCUACUUUUUCGUGGGGGAUAACGUAGGGAAACUUACGCUAAUACCGCAUACGACCUACGGGUGAAAGCAGGGGAUCUUCGGACCUUGCGCGAUUGAAUGAGCCGAUGUCGGAUUAGCUAGUUGGCGGGGUAAAGGCCCACCAAGGCGACGAUCCGUAGCUGAUCUGAGAGGAUGAUCAGCCACACUGGAACUGAGACACGGUCCAGACUCCUACGGGAGGCAGCAGUGGGGAAUAUAGGACAAGGGGCGCAAGCCUGAUCCAGCCAUACCGCGUGGGUGAAGAAGGCCUUCGGGUUGGAAAGCCCUUUUGUUGGGAAAGAAAAGCAGCAGGUUAAUACCCCGCUGUUCUGACGGUACCCAAAGAAUAAGCACCGGCUAACUUCGUG